RNAcentral lists this ribosomal RNA (253 nucleotides) under uncultured bacterium. Its description in RNAcentral is "partial 16S ribosomal RNA". It matches the Rfam family "Bacterial small subunit ribosomal RNA", at positions 524 to 776 of the family's 1533-position model. The record is from RNAcentral.
UACGAAGGGGGCAAGCGUUGUUCGGAAUUACUGGGCGUAAAGGGCGCGUAGGCGGCUUACCAAGUCAGGCGUGAAAUUCCCGGGCUCAACCUGGGGGCUGCGCUUGAUACUGGUGAGCUUGAAUGCGGGAGAGGAUAGUGGAAUUCCCAGUGUAGAGGUGAAAUUCGUAGAUAUUGGGAAGAACACCGGUGGCGAAGGCGGCUCUCUGGACAGGUACUGACGCUGAGACGCGAAAGCGUGGGUAGCAAACAGG